AUAUCUACACUCAAAAAAAUAUAUAUAUAUCUGCAUCUAUCUCCAUAGCCGUCCCCUUUCUCUCGCGAUCUAUACUAUCUAUCCUCGAUUUGCAAAUCCCCUUUCUCUCAAAUUUCCAAGCCUGACCCAUGCCUUUUUCUCUCCAAACCCAACCCUUCUACCGAAGCCACUGAUUUCUGAAAUCUCCACCAUUGAGGAGCAGCGGAGGGUUGAAGCGAUGGUCAGCGCAACGUUAGAAAGGAGAUAGCGGCACAGCUGAUUGAAAAGUUCCCUGAGUUUUAGGCUGCGCAGUGCCCCUGUAAAGUCCACCACAGAUGGGCGUUGAGACUCAACAAGGAUUCGCUCCUUUCUCCAAGCCCUAACCAUAGCUCCCUCUCUCAUUCGAAGUCCUAACCCCUCCCUCCUAUGCGAAGGACACUUUGGCGUCAAACCGAAGACCUAAUUUAUCGUGUGUGCAUCGAUAAAUUUUGAGGUUUGUAUUUUCAUCCCCUGUAAAUUGUUAUCUUCAUCAAAUUGAUACUCAAAUAGGUAUGACAUGACUUUAGUUUAUUCAAUUAGGGUUUCUUAUAAAUUCCAUGUCUUAAUGUGUACUGAGUAAACCUUUUUUUUUUUUUUUUGCAAUGCCUAUAUUGAUUCUUUCUAUAGGAUGUUCAUGAUUUUUUUGUUUUCUCUAUUUCUUUAUCAUUUGCUUGCGUCACAUGAGGAAAUUAUACUUUCUAUUUUUUUUUUUUUUUUGUUUCGAUUUCGGAAUAAAAUCCCGCAGCAUUUCAGUAAAUCUAGACUGUGUAUAGUUAUUAUAUAGCCAUUGUCUUAGAACAAUCAAGUGAAUCGUAAAAUUUCUGGUUAAGAAAUAAAUGUGCCUAAGCAGUGGAACUGUUAACUGUUAUCAUCUGCCAGAAGUGUAAUUUAUGUCUGAUGUGGGUGCACUAGACUUUUUAGUUGUCACCUUAUUGAUGUCUGCUCAUCCAUUUUCAGUCGGCUUUUUUUCUUUGUUAAUCGUCGUCAUCAUACACUUUUUGCCCUUUUGCUUUCAUUUUUUAUAUAUAAUUAUUUGUAAGCUAAAAAUACUUGUAUCAGAAACUAGGAUGUGGAUUUUGGUUAAUUCUCAUCUAAAAUAAUGUUAUGACCCUGUUUUUCUCAUUGAGAGAUGAAAUUUGGGAGCUACUGCUUAUGGCGUCGUGAACAUAGGGAAAAAAUGAAAGACUUUAGUAAAGAAGAUGAAGGACCUACUAUAUUUGGCUCGGGCUUACUUUCCUAGUAUUGCAAAGCUUGCAGCACAUGACAAGCUAUCACGUGAAAUGAAGCAAAAUAUUCAGGAGUUUGAACGUAUUCUCAGUGAAGCUACAACAGAUAAAGAUUUCCCACCACAAUCAUAGGAAAAACAAAUAAAAUUGGGGUGGGACCAAAAGAAGCAAGUGACAGGUACAUCAAUGAGUAUCAUGGUAACAUGAAACAAAUUCAGUGCCUUCCUCCUACAGAAGAGCCAGGGGUUACUGAUCAUAUAGAGCAGAUAAAAAACAUGAUCCAUCAGGUUUGUCUUCACAUUUGCCGUAGGUGCUGGACCAGUCCCUAGUCUCCUCCUAUCAGAAAUAUUCCCUAACCGAAUUAGAGCAAAGGCAAUGGCAAUCUACAUGGCAGUGCACUGGGUCAAAGCUAGGAUUGCGGGUUGCGGUUGACAUUACUUUUUUUUGUUGCCACUAUAUUUUUUGUAUGGCUCAUGAAGAAGUUGCAAGAAGAUAUGAAGAAUUUUUGUUUUAUUUUGAUUAACUAAAUAUAUAAGGUUUGGAUCAUGUACUUUUUUGAAAUUUGUAUAUGGUUAAUUUUUGUAUAAAACAAUGACUUGAAUUUGGUUUUAUAUAUAUAUAUAUAUAUGAUGUUAUUGGUCAGUUUUAAA
Cornus florida is the source of this 1894-nucleotide long non-coding RNA. RefSeq lists it as uncharacterized. The transcript is spliced from 4 exons. The record is from RefSeq and is a predicted model, not a curated record. NCBI's taxonomy places the organism in Eukaryota, Viridiplantae, Streptophyta, Magnoliopsida, Cornales, Cornaceae.